This 417-nucleotide ribosomal RNA is filed under the name Salmonella enterica subsp. enterica serovar Bonn. Its description in RNAcentral is "partial 23S ribosomal RNA". It matches the Rfam family "Bacterial large subunit ribosomal RNA", at positions 2388 to 2804 of the family's 2925-position model. The record is from RNAcentral. Lineage: Bacteria; Pseudomonadati; Pseudomonadota; Gammaproteobacteria; Enterobacterales; Enterobacteriaceae.
CGCGAGCAGGUGCGAAAGCAGGUCAUAGUGAUCCGGUGGUUCUGAAUGGAAGGGCCAUCGCUCAACGGAUAAAAGGUACUCCGGGGAUAACAGGCUGAUACCGCCCAAGAGUUCAUAUCGACGGCGGUGUUUGGCACCUCGAUGUCGGCUCAUCACAUCCUGGGGCUGAAGUAGGUCCCAAGGGUAUGGCUGUUCGCCAUUUAAAGUGGUACGCGAGCUGGGUUUAGAACGUCGUGAGACAGUUCGGUCCCUAUCUGCCGUGGGCGCUGGAGAACUGAGGGGGGCUGCUCCUAGUACGAGAGGACCGGAGUGGACGCAUCACUGGUGUUCGGGUUGUCAUGCCAAUGGCACUGCCCGGUAGCUAAAUGCGGAAGAGAUAAGUGCUGAAAGCAUCUAAGCACGAAACUUGCCCCGAGA